Stegodyphus dumicola is the source of this 1407-nucleotide long non-coding RNA. The record is from RefSeq and is a predicted model, not a curated record. NCBI's taxonomy places the organism in Eukaryota, Metazoa, Arthropoda, Arachnida, Araneae, Eresidae.
AAACAGGACAUUUAAUCAUGGCCACGAAUUAAACCUUCAUUUACACUCCAGUCAAGUAAUGCUCUUUUCCCCUUUCUUUCCAAAUCAUAAAGAAACUUCAAAUUAAUAUUACCGCAUUCAGCCAUUUAACUGUCUAAACCAGAAAACAAGCAAUGUACUUCCUAACCAACACACGCAACGAGCUUUUACAAAAUCACCGCAAUCAUGCAACCGAUUAGGUCAUAAUACGGUUUCCAUAACAUUCAACUACUCCGACUACCAUAAAUAAACCACCACUUCGCGAUAAAUGAUACAACACUUUCGCGAUAAUACAAGGGAUAAUUUUCUAAUUAACCCAAAAGUGGUUUUUCAAAUAAAUAUAAUGGACAACUAUUGCCAUUUAUUAACAAAUCUUUCAAUUUUAAACUAAAAGCACUCAAAGAGAAAAAAUACAGGAGAAAUAGAAAAGGAAUCGGUGGAAUAAUUCUGAACGCAUGACGUAUCGCCAAAUCAAGAGUUGGAAAUGACAAGUGAACAUACGGUGUAUGGUCAAAACUAGCAAGUGGUUAAAGAAUGCUUUGAACACCGUCAAAAACAGUGAAACAGUUUGUAGGUGCAAAUCUUACGAAUUCAUGUAUGGAGGUAUUAACCAUUCUUCUUUGUUUGUUAUUUACGGUACUACUUUUACAUAUGCCCUCGGAUGUAUGUUGGUGCAAAAUGUGGCGAUAUGUGUUGUGCGCUGGUUUUUGGCGCGAUUAUGUGUUAUGCAAUGGUUUUUGGCACGAUGUUGUUUGUAUGGCAACCCUUUUUACGUUGAAACAUUAUUUUUAUGGAAUGGUUGGUUUAUUUGGUGGGCAUUUUGAAAUGGCUUAUGUUGCAAUGAAAGACGUGGUGGUAAAAUUUCAGUCGCGUAUUUUGGAUUGUGUGCAAGGUAAAUUUAGUAUUAAAAGGUACGGUGUUGGAGUUGUUCAAAAGUUUUUUGUUCAUGACUGUGUUUAUGUGGAUUUUAUUCAUGAAUGUAAUGCCGGAUUUUGUAUGCUUUGUGUUUCAGAAGAUAGGGUGGAAGGAUAAAGUGGCGGAAAUGGAUGAGUUUUGCUGAUGCUUGAAAUUGAUAUUUCUGCUCUUUGAAGAAGCAUUCACAAUGCUGGGGAAAUUCCUGGGGAGAAAAUGGCUACAUUAAAAUGUCAAGAAACAAGCACAAUCAGCGUGGUAUUGCUUCUCAUGCAGUUUAUCCUUUGGUUUAAAAUCUCACCAACAUCUCUAUACUUUGACAUAAAUUAAACAGAAUCAUCAUAGGCUUUGUUACUAGAUUUAUGUAUUAAAUCAAGUGAAAACAGAGAAUGAUCAUAUGUAUUAUGUCUCUUCAUGGCUGUAUAUUUUGUCAUGCAGCAUAAUAUUUAUAAUAUUAAUAAAACUUUAUUUUCAUAA